This 500-nucleotide ribosomal RNA is filed under the name uncultured Glomeromycotina. RNAcentral's name for it is "partial small subunit ribosomal RNA". It matches the Rfam family "Eukaryotic small subunit ribosomal RNA", at positions 591 to 1092 of the family's 1831-position model. The record is from RNAcentral. Lineage: Eukaryota; Fungi; Glomeromycota.
CCAAUAGCGUAUAUUAAAGUUGUUGCAGUUAAAAAGCUCGUAGUUGAAUUUCGGGAUCAGUACGCUGGUCGUGCCUUCGGUAUGUACUGGUGUUACUGGUUCCUACCUUCUGACGAACCAUCAUGUCAUUAAUUUGGUGUGGCGGGGAAUCAGGACUGUUACUUUGAAAAAAUUAGAGUGUUUAAAGCAGGCUCGCGCUUGAAUACAUUAGCAUGGAAUAAUGAAAUAGGACGUUUGAUCCUAUUUUGUUGGUUUCUAGGAUUGACGUAAUGAUUAAUAGGGAUAGUUGGGGGCAUUAGUAUUCAAUUGUCAGAGGUGAAAUUCUUGGAUUUAUUGAAGACUAACUACUGCGAAAGCAUUUGCCAAGGAUGUUUUCAUUAAUCAAGAACGAAAGUUAGGGGAUCGAAGACGAUCAGAUACCGUCGUAGUCUUAACCAUAAACUAUGCCGACUAGGGAUCGGAUGAUGUUAAUUUUUUAAUGACUCAUUCGGCGCCUUACG